Molecule: ribosomal RNA, 496 nt
Filed under: uncultured bacterium
Lineage: Bacteria
Description: partial 16S ribosomal RNA
Rfam family: Bacterial small subunit ribosomal RNA
Source: RNAcentral
AUGCACGCUGGCGGCGUGCCUCAUACCUGCAAGUCGAGCGCACAGAUGAGGAGCUUGCUCCUCUGACGUUAGCGGCGGACGGGUGAGUAACACGUGGAUAACCUACCUAUAAGACUGGGAUAACUUCGGGAAACCGGAGCUAAUACCGGAUAAUAUAUUGAACCGCAUGGUUCAAUAGUGAAAGACGGUUUUGCUGUCACUUAUAGAUGGAUCCGCGCCGCAUUAGCUAGUUGGUAAGGUAACGGCUUACCAAGGCAACGAUGCGUAGCCGACCUGAGAGGGUGAUCGGCCACACUGGAACUGAGACACGGUCCAGACUCCUACGGGAGGCAGCAGUAGGGAAUCUUCCGCAAUGGGCGAAAGCCUGACGGAGCAACGCCGCGUGAGUGAUGAAGGUCUUCGGAUCGUAAAACUCUGUUAUUAGGGAAGAACAAAUGUGUAAGUAACUAUGCACGUCCUGACGGUACCUAAUCAGAAAGCCACGGCUAACUACGUG